This 253-nucleotide ribosomal RNA is filed under the name uncultured bacterium. Its description in RNAcentral is "partial 16S ribosomal RNA". It matches the Rfam family "Bacterial small subunit ribosomal RNA", at positions 524 to 776 of the family's 1533-position model. The record is from RNAcentral.
UACGGAGGGGGCUAGCGUUGUUCGGAAUUACUGGGCGUAAAGCGCACGUAGGCGGCUUUGCAAGUUAGAGGUGAAAGCCCGGGGCUCAACUCCGGAAUUGCCUUUAAAACUGCAUCGCUAGAAUUGUGGAGAGGUAAGUGGAAUUCCGAGUGCAGAGGUGAAAUUCGUAGAUAUUCGGAAGAACACCAGUGGCGAAGGCGACUUACUGGACACAUAUUGACGCUGAGGUGCGAAAGCGUGGGGAGCAAACAGG